This 505-nucleotide ribosomal RNA is filed under the name uncultured bacterium. RNAcentral describes it as "partial 16S ribosomal RNA". It matches the Rfam family "Bacterial small subunit ribosomal RNA", at positions 28 to 507 of the family's 1533-position model. The record is from RNAcentral.
GACGAACGCUGGCGGCGUGCCUAAUACAUGCAAGUAGAACGCACAGUUUAUACCGUGGCUCGCUACACCAUAUACUGUGAGUUGCGAACGGGUUAGUAACGCGUAGGUAACCUGCCUGGUAGCGGGGGAUAACUAUUGGAAACGAUAGCUAAUACCUCAUAAUAUUAAUUAUUGCAUGAUAAUUAAUUGAAAUUUGCAAUUUCACCACUACCAGAUGGACCUGCGUUGUAUUAGCUAGUAGGUGAGGUAACGGCUCACCUAGGCGAGGAUACAUACCCGACCUGCGAGGGUGAGAGGCCAAGCUGGGAUGGAGACAUGGCCCAGAAUACUACGGGAGGGAGCCGGAGGGGACCUUCGGGAAUGGAAGAAAGGCUGAACGAGCAACGACGGGUGAGUGAAGAAGGUAGUCGGAUCGCAAAGGUCAGUUGUAAGAGAAGAAUGGGUGUGAGAGUGGAAAGUGCACAUUGUGACGGUAUCUGAAGAGAAAGCGACGGCUAACUACGUG